Homo sapiens (human) is the source of this 1088-nucleotide long non-coding RNA. The record is from Ensembl. Lineage: Eukaryota; Metazoa; Chordata; Mammalia; Primates; Hominidae.
CCGAGUCGCACGGAUCACUUGAGUCCAGGAGUUCGAGACCCGCCUGGCCAACAUGGUGAAACCCCGUCUCUACGGAAAACACAAACAAUGAGCCGGGCAUGGUGACGCAUGCCUGUAGUCUCAGCUACUCAGAGGGCUGAGGCCCAAGAAGUGCUUGAACUCGGGAGACAGAGCUUGCAGUGAGCCCGGAUUUUGCCUGUGUACUCCAACCUGGGCAACAGAAAGAGACUCCAUCACCCACCUACACACAAUAGGAAUCUCAGGAAGGUGGAAAGUAUAAAGACCUCCCAGUGCCAAGUGUAUAAGCGUGUCCAGAAUUGGUGGGUCUCACUGACUUCAAGAAUGAAGCCGCGGACCCUCCUGGUGAGUGUUACACUUCUUAAAGUUGGCGUGUCUGGAGUUUUUUCCUUCUGAUGUUCGGAUGUGUUCGAAGCUUCUUCCUUCUGGUGGGGUUCGUGGUCUCGCUGGCUCAGGAGUGAAGCUGCAGACCUUCACGGUGAGUGUUACAGCUCUUAAGGCUGCACGUCUGGAGUUGUUCAUUUCUCCUGGUGGGUUCAUGGUCUCGCUGGCUUCAGGAGUGAAGCUGCAGACCUUCUCGGUGAGUGUUACAGCUCAUAAAGGCAGUGUGGACCCAAACAGUGAGCAGCAACAAGAUUUAUUGCAAAGAGCAAAAGAACAAACUUCCACAGUGUGGAAGGGGACUCCAGCUGGUUGCCACUGCUGGCUUGGGCAGCCUGCUUUUAUUCUCUUACCUGGCCCCACCCACAUCCUGCUGAUUGGUCCAUUUUACAGAGAUCCUGAAUGGUGUGUUUUGACAGGGUGCUGAUUGGUGCCUUUACAAUCCCUGAGCUAGACACAAAGUCUCCCCACGUCCCCACUAGAUUAGCUAGAUACAGAGUGUCCACACAAAGGUUCUCCAAGUCCCCACCAUAAUGGCUAGAUACAGAGUGUCGAUUGCUGCAUUCACAAACCCUGAGCUAGACACAGGGUGCUGAUUGGUGUGUUUACAAACCUUGAUCUAGAUACAGAGUGUCGAGUGGUGUAUUUACAAUCCCUUAGCUAGACAUAAAGGUUCUACAAGUCCCCAU